RNAcentral lists this unclassified non-coding RNA (1080 nucleotides) under Drosophila pseudoobscura pseudoobscura. Its description in RNAcentral is "GA26005". The record is from RNAcentral. Lineage: Eukaryota; Metazoa; Arthropoda; Insecta; Diptera; Drosophilidae.
AAAUAAAUACAUAGCAGACUUUUCUUCGAUUGUUGUCACAAUUUUAAAAUUAGGUUUGUUAGAAAAUUUAAGUUUUCCACAUUUAUACACAUAUACACAAUGUCGCGGCAACAGAAGUCACGCAUUUUUCCGAGGGACGUCAAUGAUUGCAUGGCGGGUAUGAAAUCAGAAACACAAGAUGCCUUGGAGAGCGGUGCAAAGCAACAUUCGUCUAUACCAAGGACUACAGCCGGUCAUCCCACAGUUCCAAAUUGCGACAAUGUAUCGCCGAAAAGGACAUACCCGACCCGGAUUUCUGCCGCCGACCAGUCAACCCAUUUUACAGCUUAUCCUCGAGCCAAUUCAAAUUCAUGGAUGAUCACCACUCGAAAGAUCUAGAAACCGAGUAUCGCAAAAAAAUCAACUUCUUCAGGCAACUAAGGCAUCAAUCUCAAAUUUUCACGGAUUAAUAGAGAUUAGAAUAGAGAUUUAGAUCUCUUUAUCUCUAAAUCAAACAGUAUUCAAUAUUCAAUGUAUUAGCCAUUAUCCAGCAACAGCCCAACCAAACUGGCCCGGAUACGUGCUGUGCUGAAUACGUUUUGAUGUUCUGUCAGUUAUUCGUUUACAAAGUCUUUUUUCUAGUCAUUUGUUCUGUAGGUUAGAUUACAUAUGCAUUAUUUUUGUCUUGUCUAUUGCUUCUAUGCUGCCAUUCUAUCGCCUGCCUUAAGAGCUGCAUAACCGCAACGAUUAGGAGUGGAAUUCGGUGUAGUACUAAUCGUCCCGUUUAUGCAGCUGUAUUAGCCAUUAUCCAGCAACAACCCAACCAACUGGCCCAGAUUAAAAGUGUGUUGAAUACGUGUUGAUGUUCUGCCAGUUAUUCGUUUACAAAGUCUAUUUUCUAUUAUUAAUCAAAUUUUUUGGGCCGAAAAGGGGUGCUUUGGACUUAGGAAUUUAGAAAAAGAGUUGCGGAAAAUGAACCAAUAAUAAAAUGUAUGUACAUGUGGACCAGAAAAACAAGAGUUUGGUGUUCUAAUUCUGUGCAUUGGGUAAUUCGGUGUAAGUUUCUGUAUCUGUAUUAGCCAUUAUCCAGCAAGAACCCAA